GUGCUGAGUGUGGUAAGACUUUCAGGGUUAGCUCCAACCUGAUCCAGCACCAGCGUACUCACACUGGGGAGAAACCCUAUCGCUGUGGACUCUGUGGCAAGAGUUUCAGCCUGAGCUCUAACCUUUUACAGCACCAGCGCUGUCACACAGGUGAGAAACCCUACUUCUGUGCUUGGUGUGGAGACAGCUUUGGGCGCAGCUCCUAUCUGCUGGAACACCAACGCUCACACACAGGUGAGAAGCCCUACAAUUGCUGUGAGUGUGGCAAGAACUUCACCAACAGCUCAAACUGCCUACGGCACCAGCGCACUCAUAAUGGAGAACCGCCCUUCAGGUGUCUUGAGUGUGGACGUGGCUUUAGUGAGAUCACCAUGUUUACUGAACACCAGC
RNAcentral lists this long non-coding RNA (390 nucleotides) under Rattus norvegicus (Norway rat). Its description in RNAcentral is "long non-coding RNA NONRATT003236". Lineage: Eukaryota; Metazoa; Chordata; Mammalia; Rodentia; Muridae. The record is from RNAcentral.